GAAACAGGAUCUUAAAUACAGAGGGUGCCCUCUCCGUCUGCAUGGUAACAUAGUCAAUGAUGGGAAAAGGCCCAAACACACAUCUGCUUGGGAGAGUUAAAAUGCACAACAGCCCAACUCUGCAGGAGAUACUCCUGCUGUCCAAGUUUUGUAGGGCUUUCACUACAAUGCACAAUAUCAUUAUUAGAAUAAACUAACGGGAUGGACAGAUCAAAAAGAAAAUGAGCAAGGACCCAGGCAGUAGCUCAGCAAUAAUCUUCAUUAUUGGCCUUUUCAUGAUGGUAUUCAUACUGUUGUGUUACAAAUGUCAUAUUUAAUCUAUUCCACUUUAUUUAAAAAAAAGACAGCAGAGUACGGAAUUCAAGAACAACGUUAAAAGCAAACUACUGGAAACACUCAGCAGGUCAAGCAACACCUAUGGAGAGAAACAGAGUUAACAGUUUGGGUCAAUGACUUUUCAUCACAACCUGUUCAAAAAUCAAAGCUAACUCUGUUGCUUCGCUUUCCAGAAAUACUGCCCAAGUCCAGAGGGCUUUCUGUUCAUAUUUCAGAUUUCCAGCAUCUGCAGUAUUUUCCUCUCAUUUCAAGAAAACAAGACGACAGCAGCUUGUGAAAUGAAAUGAUCUCUUGGUCAACUAGCAGGAAAUGGAUAUAGUUAAAAGAAAGCACUUACAUGACAUUAGAGAUGCUAGCCACUAGAAAAACAAAAACUCAAAACGAUACAGAGAUAGUUGUAAGUUGUGGU
Non-coding RNA from Chiloscyllium plagiosum (whitespotted bambooshark), 745 nucleotides. NCBI's taxonomy places the organism in Eukaryota, Metazoa, Chordata, Chondrichthyes, Orectolobiformes, Hemiscylliidae. The record is from RefSeq and is a predicted model, not a curated record.